This 207-nucleotide ribosomal RNA is filed under the name uncultured bacterium. RNAcentral describes it as "partial 16S ribosomal RNA". It matches the Rfam family "Bacterial small subunit ribosomal RNA", at positions 1294 to 1500 of the family's 1533-position model. The record is from RNAcentral.
CGGAUUGUAGUCUGCAACUCGACUACAUGAAGCUGGAAUCGCUAGUAAUCGCAGAUCAGAAUGCUGCGGUGAAUACGUUCCCGGGUCUUGUACACACCGCCCGUCACACCAUGGGAGUCGGAUAUGCCCGAAGCCAGUGACCCAACCGUAAGGAGGGAGCUGUCGAAGGUGGAGCCGAUAACUGGGGUGAAGUCGUAACAAGGUAUC